GAGUCAUAUGGGUUGUAAAUGAUUGCACAUGUUUUGAUAUUGCCGAGAGUGCUAAGUACUCACUUUCUUCAUCAGCCCCUUCUUCCUUUUCUUAAACGUGGUUUUUCUUGCAAAGUCAUUAGUGAUAUAGGUAAGCCUAACCUUGUUUCUAGUCAUGAUGUUUUGUCGUGUUUGGCCAAGGAGCGAGAGGGGCUAUAUAUAGAAUGAGACAAGGGUUGGAGAGUUAUUAGUACGGAAUGGGGAAUGGAGCAUUAUAAUAUAGUAGAAUAUACCAUCUAAGGUAAGAUAUGGUGCAUUCUACAACAAGUGGAGUGCCAAAAUAUUACUUAAUGAUUUGUUAGAUAUACAUGUUCCUCAUUAAUGUUAGCUUUUAUAUAAAG
RNAcentral lists this long non-coding RNA (380 nucleotides) under Carica papaya (papaya). Its description in RNAcentral is "long non-coding RNA (CPAP_LNC002256)". The record is from RNAcentral. Lineage: Eukaryota; Viridiplantae; Streptophyta; Magnoliopsida; Brassicales; Caricaceae.